UACGUAGGGUGCAAGCGUUAAUCGGAAUUACUGGGCGUAAAGCGGGCGCAGGCGGCUUUGCAAGACAGAUGUGAAAUCCCCGGGCUUAACCUGGGAACUGCAUUUGUGACUGCAUGGCUGGAGUGCGGCAGAGGGGGAUGGAAUUCCGCGUGUAGCAGUGAAAUGCGUAGAGAUCGGGAAGAACAUCGGUGGCGAAGGCGGCCAGCUGGGCCAUUGCUGACGCUGAUGCGCGACAGCGUGGGGAGCAAACAGG
Molecule: ribosomal RNA, 253 nt
Filed under: uncultured bacterium
Lineage: Bacteria
Description: partial 16S ribosomal RNA
Rfam family: Bacterial small subunit ribosomal RNA
Source: RNAcentral